GGGGAGUCGGGACCCAUUGAAUUUCUCAGGGACCCACCCAACUCGCCACCUGUGGGUCCCGGGGACUCACUACAUUGAAAACCUAUCAACAUCACUGGUUAUGUCUUAUUUAUUUUCAAUUUAUUUCCGUUUGUUGAGUGUGUGAAUCCCCCCUCCUAAUUGUACACUUGUGCGAUUUAGUUUGAAACCGCCUCGCGACUUUCUGCGUUGUCAUGGUUACCCCACACUCUUUCUUCAGUGAGAGCCAAGAAAGUAAAGUUGAGUAAUGGAGGAUUUGAGGUUACCUAAAAAGCAGAAGAAACUGGACCAACAGCCAAGCAUACACAGUUUUUUUUCAGACAGUAAGUAACUUGACAGGCAUGCUGAAAGCAGUGGCCAGACAGGGACAUGCUCUGGACAUGCAGGUGAUAAGGUGAGAAUUUUGAAUAUGAGACUAGACAGCCUUACAACAUUGUUUAUAACCUGGGCCUACAUGUCAGCAAUACAUAAAAGUAGCCUACUUCUAAUACAAGCAGAAUAUAUAGACCUAAAUGAUCACGAAGGUCAGCCACUGUUCUUCUGAUAACAUAAUGACAUGUGGUCAUGGGUAUGUGGUAUUUUUCCAUUGGAAGCUAUCCUUUUUGCUACAGUACUACUGGAAGAGCAUAAUUGUAAUUGGUAGGUGUGUUUAAGGUCAGUAAGCAGCUAACCAAAACAAAGUGUGUGUGUGUGUGUGUGGGGGGGGGGCGGGGCAGACAUUACAUUAUUACACUAUUCCUUUAGAUGUGAAUUCAAAUGGUCAAUGUAGUCCUCGAAACUAUGUUCUAAAUGUCCACAUUUUCAUAAAUAAAUAUAGAAUUGUAGGCAAUGCACUUAACAAAUAAUAAUAAAAAAUUGGACCCCCCCAAUGUCUAAACCAUGGUUACGCCCUUGUCUCUGCAAGACCCAAGAUGGCGGACGUCUGGACAAAGGAAACCCACGUCACGAAGACGCGCCGUCUCUUUAACACCACGUGGUUACACUCUACGGCUGCGUUGUAUAGACAAGUUUUUGACCCGUUUCCGCUCUACUUCCUUAACUCCUCCCGUGUAUGCUUUCCACUUCCGUUCUGGCGGGCUCAGGUUUAUGUUGCUAGGUAUCUCCGAUAUCGACGCAGAGACACAGUGUGAAAAAGGAUGGACAACGUAUCGAGGAAAAGUGGUUCGGGAACUACGUGUGCAGUAGUUGGCUGUACCAACUCAAGGAAACACCUGAACGAGUGGUUAAAUAGAGAGUGUUUUGACCACAAACCAGCCACGAAGAGACAAUGUUUAUGUCCUCCGUUGUUUGAGUUUUUUCGCAAGCCUGAUGCCGACUCGGAAUCACAAGCCUGGCUGAAGGCAUUGAAUUUAAAAAAUCCACCCUGCACCGUUUGUGUGUUCACAUCAUUUUGUGGACAAGAGACCAACUAAGAAUAAUCCCUUUCCAGAGUUGUGGUUGGGAUACACACGCUUUACCCAGCCAAAGAGGAGCCGAGUCACCGGGCGGACCACUGCCUGCCCAAAGAAGCGUAGACUUCAAUCUGAUGAUGCUCCCGAAACGUGUCAGCCUGCCUGUGAGGCUGAGCCUGCCACACCAAAAUUCCGAGAUGCCCAGACCCAGUGGGAGGAUCCGUCACUGACUGACCACGCAUACUUUUCAACAACACAGUCUGUUAAAGUAGAUAAGGCCACACAGGGCGAGGAUCCUACUGUGACUAGCACCACAGUCAUUGAUGAUUCUAGGUCUCGGCUGUAUACAGGAGUGCGCAUGGUUCAAUUUUUCACCAUGGUGACGGCAUUGUUGCCUUUCGCUAAGCCAUCAAUUACCCUUCCUGUUGUUGACCAAAUCCUGAUGACCUUGAUGAAGCUAAAACUAAAUCUUAUAUUAGGAGAUAUUUCUCACCGUUUCAAUGUGUCUACAUCCAUAGCGAGCAUUGUGAUUAGUCACUGGAUUGGCGAUUAUGAACACAAUGUUGACAUAUCUAAUGUGGCAGAUUUGUAACAGAUUUACGCAAGUAAUAAUGUAUAACUUUGAUAACUUUGUGCAGUUCUCUCAUACAAUUAUGAACACUUUGUUUUAAAGAUAAAAAUCAAAAUCAAAACACUGAACAGUUCAAAGUCCUGAUCCCCUGGCUUCCAAGAGAGACCAUUCGUGCCACCAUGCCCUUACCGUUUAAGAGGAACUACCCUCGAACCACCUGCAUCAUUGACUGUGCCGAAAGUGCCAUGCAGGGAGCCACAAACCCAGAUUCAAGGAGUGACAGUUUCAGUCAGUAUAAAUCACGCAACGCUGUGAAAUAUCUUGUCGCUGUGGCCCCUAAUGGGCUAAUCAUGUAUAUAUCUGACGCAUAUGCUGGCAGAAGCAGCGAUAAGUUUAUCACCAUGGACAGUGGGUUUCUGGACUAUCUAAGGGCUGGUGAUGAGGUCAUGGCGGACCGUGGGUUCACCAUUCGAGACCUGCUUAAUGAAAGAAAGGUCAGUUUGAACAUCCCUGCAUUCACCAAAAGGCGCAAUCAGUUGACCAAUGAGGAGAUAACACGAACCAGGCGAGUAGCCAAUGUCCGCAUACAUGUGGAAAGAGCAAUCCAGAGACUGAAGGUCUUUAAGAUUUUAUCCCAGACCGUUCCCAUCAGCAUGGCACGUAAACUGGACAACAUCUUGACCAUCUGUGGUGGCCUAGUUAACCUAAGAAGUCCACUGAUCAGAAUGCCUCGUGAGGUUUAGAAUCUUGCCUUGUGUCCCUGUGUGCAUACUAGUAUUGGUUAAUAUUGUAAAUGAUUGUUAUAGUGAUGUUAUUGUGUGGGCUUGUUUUGUAUUUCACUUUUUAAUACAUGUUAGGAUUAAAUACAUGAUCUUUCUUGUUGAA
This is a long non-coding RNA of Gadus morhua (Atlantic cod), 2865 nucleotides long. RefSeq lists it as uncharacterized. The record is from RefSeq and is a predicted model, not a curated record. The transcript is spliced from 2 exons. Lineage: Eukaryota; Metazoa; Chordata; Actinopteri; Gadiformes; Gadidae.